This is a non-coding RNA of Equus caballus (horse), 1377 nucleotides long. Lineage: Eukaryota; Metazoa; Chordata; Mammalia; Perissodactyla; Equidae. The record is from RefSeq and is a predicted model, not a curated record.
AAAAAAGUGAAAGAGAAUAUGCAGAAAGGGGCCACCCUUUUCUGAGGAAGGGUGAAAGCGAAAGCAGAAAGCGUCAGACGCGGAGCCCAACAGAAGACAAGGCUGCGACCUUUCUUGCUCCACGCUGGUGCCACUCGUCUGAUCAUCGACCCCCAAACCCUAGACCGCCCUGCCCACCCCGGGAUGCUGAAGGCAGCGCUAGAGCCCCGAGGGGGCUUCUGCUUUGAGAACUGCCAGAGAAACGCAUCCUUGGAACGCGUCCUCCCGGGGCUCCGGACCCCUCAUGCACGCAAAACUGGGACCACCAUCGCGGGCAUUGUGUUCCGAGACGGGGUCAUCCUGGGCGCGGAUACGCGGGCCACUAACGAUUCGGUCGUGGCGGACAAGAACUGUGAGAAAAUCCACUUCAUCGCUCCCAAAAUCUACUGCUGUGGGGCUGGAGUUGCCGCGGACGCCGAGAUGACCACACGGAUGGCAGCGUCCAACAUGGAACUACACGCGCUGUCUACGGGCCGCGAGCCCCGCGUGGCCACAGUCACUCGCAUGUUGCGCCAGACGCUCUUCCGGUGCUGGGGAGGGCUGAUGACCCAGGGGAGGAGCUGUUGCGGGGAGAGCGAGACUGUGAGGUCCCGGGAGGCCGGAAGAGGCCGGCCUAAGAGGAGGGGGGCAACAGGAAGGAGUGGUGUCAGUCUUGGGCACCGAACCACAGGAAGGGGCGGGGCUCGGAUCCAGGGGCGGUAUCGCGGUGGGGCGGGACCUCGGGGCCUGGUGCUUGUUGCUGACCACGCCCACUCCACGGAAAGGUACCAGGGCCACGUGGGCGCGUCGCUGAUCGUGGGAGGCGUAGACUUGACAGGACCGCAGCUCUACGGCGUGCACCCCCACGGCUCCUACAGCCGUCUGCCCUUUGCGGCCCUGGGCUCCGGCCAGGAUGCGGCUCUGGCAGUUCUGGAGGACCGGUUCCAGCCGAACAUGACAGUGAGCGACACUUAGCCUCCACUACGCGUUCAUUGGUGGGAAGUGACCCUAGGAGCUCGGGGAAGGCAGAGCUGGAGGCCGCGCAGGGGCUGCUGGUGGAAGCCAUCACUGCAGGAAUCUUGGGUGACCUGGGCUCUGGGGGCAAUGUGGAUGCAUGUGUGAUCACAAGGACCGGCGCCAAGCUGCUGCGAACACUGAGCUCACCCACAAAGCCCAUAGUGAGGUCGAGCCAGUACCACUUUGCCCCUGGGACCACAGCUGUCUUGUCCCAGACAGUAACACCACUGACCCUGGAGCUGCUGGAGGAAACCGUGCAGGCCAUGGAGGUGGAAUGAAGUAGGCUAAGGCUUAGAGCUUGGAACAAGGGAAAUAAAGCCAGAAAAUAAAACACCUAAACAG